UACGGAGGGUGCAAGCGUUAUCCGGAUUUAUUGGGUUUAAAGGGUCCGUAGGCGGAUCUGUAAGUCAGUGGUGAAGUCUCACAGCUUAACUGUGAAACUGCCAUUGAUACUGCAGGUCUUGAGUAAGGUAGAAGUGGCUGGAAUAAGUAGUGUAGCGGUGAAAUGCAUAGAUAUUACUUAGAACACCAAUUGCGAAGGCAGGUCACUAUGUCUUAACUGACGCUGAUGGACGAAAGCGUGGGGAGCGAACAGG
This 253-nucleotide ribosomal RNA is filed under the name uncultured bacterium. Its description in RNAcentral is "partial 16S ribosomal RNA". It matches the Rfam family "Bacterial small subunit ribosomal RNA", at positions 524 to 776 of the family's 1533-position model. The record is from RNAcentral.